This 492-nucleotide ribosomal RNA is filed under the name uncultured bacterium. Its description in RNAcentral is "partial 16S ribosomal RNA". It matches the Rfam family "Bacterial small subunit ribosomal RNA", at positions 29 to 507 of the family's 1533-position model. The record is from RNAcentral.
AGUGAACGCUGGCGGUAGGCCUAACACAUGCAAGUCGAACGGCAGCACAGUAAGAGCUUGCUCUUACGGGUGGCGAGUGGCGGACGGGUGAGGAAUACAUCGGAAUCUACUUUUUCGUGGGGGAUCACGUAGGGAAACUUACGCUAAUACCGCAUACGACCUACGGGUGAAAGCAGGGGAUCUUCGGACCUUGCGCGAUUGAAUGAGCCGAUGUCGGAUUAGCUAGUUGGCGGGGUAAAGGCCCACCAAGGCGACGAUCCGUAGCUGGUCUGAGAGGAUGAUCAGCCACACUGGAGCUGAGACACGGACCAGACUCCUACGGGAGGCAGCAGUGGGGAAUAGUGGACAAUGGGCGGAAGCCUGAUCCAGCCAUACCGCGUGGGUGAAGAAGGCCUUCGGGUUGGAAAGCCCUUUUGUUGGGAAAGAAAAGCAGCAGGUUAAUACGCCGCUGUUCUGACGGUACCCAAAGAAUAAGCACCGGCUAACUUCGUG